RNAcentral lists this transfer RNA (523 nucleotides) under uncultured Prochlorococcus sp. RNAcentral describes it as "partial 16S-23S ribosomal RNA intergenic spacer". The stretch from base 209 to 281 matches the Rfam family "tRNA". The record is from RNAcentral. Lineage: Bacteria; Bacillati; Cyanobacteriota; Cyanophyceae; Synechococcales; Prochlorococcaceae.
CAGGGAGACAACAAAAUGUUUAAUAUUAUUUUGUCACCUUAGGUCGAUCGGUAUCUCACUUUCUUAAUUUAUUAAGAAUUUCAUUUCCUAAGUUUUUCUAGGUCACACCCAUUAUUUUUCCUGGGCCAUUAGCUCAGGUGGUUAGAGCGCACCCCUGAUAAGGGUGAGGUCCCUGGUUCAAGUCCAGGAUGGCCCAUAUCUCUAUGUUGGGGGUAUAGCUCAGUUGGUAGAGCGCCUGCUUUGCAAGCAGGAUGUCAGCGGUUCGAGUCCGCUUACCUCCACUGGAUUCCACCUCUGCCAUAAAGCGUAAAAGGGAAAUUUGUUGAGUUGUGACCAAAUUCUGAACGAAUCUAGCUUCCUAAUAUAAUCAUUAAGAUGCUGGACUCAUUGAAUUAAUUUCAUUGUUUUCAGAGAACCUUGACAACUGCAUAGAUUAUUUUAAAGACAAUAAGCAUCUUUAAUGAUGCAGAUUUAUUAUUUGUGCGAAUGCAUUAAUAACAAUUCUAUUAAGCUGAUGCUUCAA